Molecule: ribosomal RNA, 292 nt
Filed under: uncultured bacterium
Lineage: Bacteria
Description: partial 16S ribosomal RNA
Rfam family: Bacterial small subunit ribosomal RNA
Source: RNAcentral
GUGCCAGCCGCCGCGGUAAUACGGAGGGGGCUAGCGUUGUUCGGAAUUACUGGGCGUAAAGCGCACGUAGGCGGAUCAGAAAGUUAGAGGUGAAAUCCCAGGGCUCAACCUUGGAACUGCCUUUAAAACUCCUGGUCUUGAGUUCGAGAGAGGUGAGUGGAAUUCCGAGUGUAGAGGUGAAAUUCGUAGAUAUUCGGAGGAACACCAGUGGCGAAGGCGGCUCACUGGCUCGAUACUGACGCUGAGGUGCGAAAGCAUGGGGAGCAAACAGGAUUAGAAACCCGGGUAGUCC